This 322-nucleotide long non-coding RNA is filed under the name Rattus norvegicus (Norway rat). RNAcentral's name for it is "long non-coding RNA NONRATT025168". Lineage: Eukaryota; Metazoa; Chordata; Mammalia; Rodentia; Muridae. The record is from RNAcentral.
GAGGGGACACUGGAGAGCCUCUUGGUGCUGGCUAUGCACAGAGAUAGAAGGGAAGCCCGCCCAGUUGUUUUGUGGAUACAGGGACCCAAUGCUCUGUGCUCCUAUGCCCCCCAGUGGGCCAAUAUCCAAAGACCUUGAGUGCAAGGAGCUACUGACAACGACCAAUACUUAUAGACUGCCCGAAGAACAGUGGACCUUGGUGUGGGCCGGGUAACCCACCCACUAAUUCAUGGUCAUCCCUGACUGCCCCCAUCCCUUGCUCAUGAGAAAAUUGCUCUCCAAAUUGGCUUGCGUGGGCUGAAAUGGCUAGAUGAGGCCAUGU